This 513-nucleotide ribosomal RNA is filed under the name uncultured bacterium. RNAcentral's name for it is "partial 16S ribosomal RNA". It matches the Rfam family "Bacterial small subunit ribosomal RNA", at positions 28 to 523 of the family's 1533-position model. The record is from RNAcentral.
GAUGAACGCUGGCGGCGUGCCUAAUACAUGCAAGUCGAGCGAACAGACGAGGAGCUUGCUCCUUUGACGUUAGCGGCGGACGGGUGAGUAACACGUGGGUAACCUACCUAUAAGACUGGGAUAACUUCGGGAAACCGGAGCUAAUACCGGAUAAUAUUUCGAACCGCAUGGUUCGAUAGUGAAAGAUGGCUCUGCUAUCACUUAUAGAUGGACCUGCGCCGUAUUAGCUAGUUGGUAAGGUAACGGCUUACCAAGGCAACGAUACGUAGCCGACCUGGGAGGGUGAUCGGCCACACUGGAACUGAGACACGGUCUAGACUCCUACGGGAGGCAGCAGUAGGGAAUCUUCCGCAAUGGGCGAAAGCCUGACGGAGCAACGCCGCGUGAGUGAUGAAGGUCUUCGGAUCGUAAAACUCUGUUAUUAGGGAAGAACAAACGUGUAAGUAACUGUGCACGUCUUGACGGUACCUAAUCAGAAAGCCACGACUAACUACGUGCCAGCCGCCGCGGUAA